CAGCAGCCGCGGUAAUACAGAGGGUGCAAGCGUUAAUCGGAAUUACUGGGCGUAAAGCGAGCGUAGGUGGCUUGAUAAGUCAGAUGUGAAAUCCCCGGGCUUAACCUGGGAACUGCAUCUGAUACUGUUAGGCUAGAAUAGGUGAGAGGAAGGUAGAAUUCCAGGUGUAGCGGUGAAAUGCGUAGAGAUCUGGAGGAAUACCGAUGGCGAAGGCAGCCUUCUGGCAUCAUAUUGACACUGAGGUUCGAAAGCGUGGGUAGCAAACAGGAUUAGAUACCCUGGUAGUCCACGCCGUAAACGAUGUCUACUAGUCGUUGGGUCCCUUGAGGACUUAGUGACGCAGCUAACGCAAUAAGUAGACCGCCUGGG
Molecule: ribosomal RNA, 369 nt
Filed under: Psychrobacter sp.
Lineage: Bacteria; Pseudomonadati; Pseudomonadota; Gammaproteobacteria; Moraxellales; Moraxellaceae
Description: bacterial SSU rRNA
Rfam family: Bacterial small subunit ribosomal RNA
Source: RNAcentral